Molecule: long non-coding RNA, 3463 nt
Organism: Triticum aestivum (bread wheat)
Lineage: Eukaryota; Viridiplantae; Streptophyta; Magnoliopsida; Poales; Poaceae
Exons: 3
Source: RefSeq, a predicted model, not a curated record
UCUUAUCCCUAUCUGGCCUCUGCAUCCUCAUCCUCCUCCACCACUGGAUCCGGCCACAGCCAAGGUUUCCUCUCACCCACCUUAGAGCGGCGAGGUAUGCUACUUCUCCACCCGUCGGCGAGGUGCGGGCGCCGGCCGCUGGCCGACGUGGGGGUCGUGUCGUUCCUUGUGCAGCAGCUCACGGUGACCUACACGUCCGCCAACGGCGAGGACGCGGCUGACACGCUACUCAGCAUCUCCCUCCCCGCAGCUCAUGUCAUCCCCCGUCCCGGUUGUCUCCCAUCCGGCCAGCAACAAUCUCGUCCUACCUAGCUUGGAUCCGUGGAUGGCGAGUGGAUCUGGCAACUUGGAUGCCGGUGGCUGCGGCUCAUCUCCAACCCAAUGCACCGUGUACUAGUUAAUGCAAGUGAUCAAUUGAUGUUUGGAGCGUAUACAUCUCAAAAGCAAACAUUUGUGUUGUCUGUCCAGUUAAUUAAGAUGCUGAUUGAAUUGUGUACAUCUCAAAAGCAUAAAUUGGAAUUUGUGGAUUUUUAAAAAAAAAUCCUAAUUAGUUAGUAGUAGCGCGGGGCAGCAUCCUGCGCUGCUGUAGCGCGUGUGCAUCCCACGCUACUACUAUCACAACUAGCAUGGGAUCACAACUAGCUGUAGUGCAGGGUAAAAAACGCGCUACUGCUAAAAUUUAGCUGUAGCGUCGUAGCAUUAGCGCGGGCACCAGCGCUACUGAUAGCCAAAAAAACCCACGCUACUAAUAGCCUUUUUCCUAGCAGUGCAUCUUUUUCUUGUUUGUCUUGUUCUUGUUCGUGGUACACCGUAGAUCUGAAGAGAUUAGGUUCGUUUUUUGUGUGGAUCAAGCGAAGAUUAAUAGCUUAGUUAUUUUUUCAUGUCAUUAUUGUUUAAGCAGUCAAUAGAUUGGAGGUGUUUUUUCUGUGGUUCAUGCAGAUGUAAGGUUUGGGGUAGUUUUUGUAGUGCAUCAAGAGCGGCCAGAGUGAGCGGGUGCUUUUGUUUUUCUGUUAGGUGAUGCAGAUGUAACACCAAGUAAACUGCACUCUUUAGUGUUUAAUUUCAGUUAGGUUCAGUUAGUUUAGUUAUUUUGCUUCUUAGUCUGAAAUUCAUGUCUGCUACACUGUAGGAGUUCGUCACUGUGCCCCUGUAUCCAUUAGAGUAGAUGGGAUUUUGUAUGUCCAUAUUACCCCCCCCCCCCCGGCCCCCGCCUGUUCUUUUUUUGUUUUGUAUCAAAUAUGUGAUUAGUAGUUUCAAGCAGAGAAUCACCCCCAUAGUUUAGACCUUAUUUUCUUAGGUUUGAUUCUUUUGUGCGUUGAUGCACAAUAGUCUCUCGCUCUCGCGUGUCUAUCGGCAAUGUCGGUGUGGUGGAUUUUUUUAUGAUGAAACUGGAUUCUUUGCUUGUAGCUAGAUUCACUUACCUCGAUAAAUAAAGCCCCGUUUUUAUGUGUCACCUUUUUUGUCAUUCAGAUUUUUUGCUGCGUUUUUUGAGGUUCUUUCCAGUAAAGAUUAUUUUACAACCAGUAGCACUAAAUUUCUUAGUAGGCCAAGAGACUGAGAUGAAGUGUGUUUCUCCGCUGGAUUGUACUGGAAGUCGUUUUUUAUCAACAUGUUUUUUUAUGCUUGUAGGUACAUAUAGAGAAAUUUUUACACCGCUCUGUACAUCCUCUGUACAGAGAGUAUAGUGCACUUUUUUUACACCCUCUGUUCAUGAGUAGGUGACAAGAGAGAUGUGUGUUUAGGAUUUUUUGCUAUGUUGAACAUUCUUUUUUAUUUUUUAGUAUAUAAACCUCUGCUAGUUAUCCUUUUUUUGGACACUUUUUCUUCUUCUUUUUUAUCGGGUGAGGGCUAUCACUUAUACUGUUCUUAACUGGGAAAUUUUUGGUGUCUCAAGAAGUGCUUCUCUCAUAUCCCCUCAUACAAAUUACUGAAACCAUUAGUGGGAGUGAUUCAAUCCCUUGUUUUGUUUUAUUCUAGUCGAGAGUAGUAGGUCGAAGAAUAUGAUUUUGCUGAAACAUUACUUUCGCGAAAUCAGUUCCAUGUUUUUUGAGGAUUAUCUCCGAACUCAAAUCCCCUCAUAUGUAUUACUGGGCCAUCACUAGGAGUUGUAUAGUCCUUUUGUUUGUUUUACUUAGGUUUUUCGCUGAAAUCUUUUCUCUCGAAACAAGAGAGGUUUUUUAUUACUGGAUGUAUUAGCAGUAGUGUGGUAUGUUUAUUUUAUUUCUCAUAAUCCCUAUCUAAUCUGCAGCAUGUUUAAUCUGAAAUCUUUUUUUUGUAAACAGGAGAUAUUACUGCUGAAAUUUAUCACUAGGGAGUGGGUUGUUUAUUUUUUAUUUUAUUUUGCUUCGACUCUUUUUUAAUUCAGAAGCAUGUUCAAAUCUAUCAUUUUUUUGCGUAUUCAAAAAGAGAAUGAUUUAAUGAAAGUAAGUUUCUAGCAGCAGCAUGUUUUCUUUAGUUUUCUUUUUUUCUCCCUAAAAACCAUAUGAAAUUAGUGUGAUGUUCAUUUUUAUUUUGUAUAUGAAUUAAUCUGGUCUUUUGAUAUACUCCCUCCGUCCUUUAAAGAGUGUAUUCCAACUUUGUUGGAGGGUCAAACUAUCUCAAACUUUGAACGAGUUUAUGCAAAAAUAUAUCAAUGUUUGUGAAAACAAAUGGGCAUACGAUGAAAAUAUAUUUUAUCAUGAAUCUAAAUCUACUCAUUUGAUGGCAUAAAUGUUGGUGUACUAUUGUAUAAAUACGGUCAAACAUAAAACAGUUUGACUUUCCAACAAAGUUGGAAGUACACUCUUUAAAGGGCGGAGGGAGUAUUCAUCAUCUUUUUUCUCUCCACAUCGCAAAUGUAUGUAUGCUUCUUUGUUUCAUCAGCGGCGACGCUAAUGAUAUAUAUCAUUAUCUCGAAAUCCUUUUUCUUCGGAAGCAUACAAGUUUAUUUUGCACUAAAAAUCAUUUAGCUGAAUAUGUAUGCAUAUCAGUAGCACAUAUUUAUGUUUUUGGCCUUUUUUUAUGUGCACAGGAGAUGGUUUGCAGAGUUUGUCUGAGCCCUUGCUACCGUGAGAGCAACAAGCGGCAUCAGCAUGUAUGUCUGGAAGGAGUUCAAAAAUACAGGGGUUGUGCCAUGCAACGCGAAAGAGUUCAUUUCAACGACCUGACAGGAGAUAGGCUGAAGUUUAAGGCAAACAAAUGGACAUACACCGUCAAGUGCCACAAGGGGCCCAGAGAGGGUGCAAUGUAUGGGACUGGUUGGAGGAAGUUCGUUUCAGACAACAAGUUGGGGAAGCUCUUCUACUUGGACUGGCCUUCCUCAAGGGCAGUUGUAUGUGUGAUUUAAUUCGGGAAUGGCACCGAAGAAUGAAGGAUUCGAGGAUGAGACCCAACGUACCCUUCUUUUUAUGCUAUGUUGAACUCUCUAACUCGUAUGUCAAGAUCCGUCGUUGUGUGUUUAUGUUUAAUGCAACUAAGUUUGUUA